Molecule: long non-coding RNA, 1028 nt
Filed under: Volvox carteri
Lineage: Eukaryota; Viridiplantae; Chlorophyta; Chlorophyceae; Chlamydomonadales; Volvocaceae
Description: long non-coding RNA (VCAR_LNC003244)
Source: RNAcentral
CCACCACCCGGCCCGAAAGACCACCCUUCCGAUAAAUACGGGAACCUUCCCCGACAGCAUGUGAACCAUAUGCGCGGCCAGAGAACAUUUACAUGUUUUUGUUCCAUGUAUAUAUCUGCAUCCAGGUAAACUGUAAUGUGCUGAAAGCGGCAAACACUGAAGAGUCCUAGACACCUCGAAGGAAGAAGUCCCAUGCUUAUCAAAAAUUAAUUAAUAAAAAAGCGUUGCUACCGUAAAGGCUUGACCCUCCCAUGCGUUUCCGUAAGCAUUGGAAAUUUACGCCUGGCGUAUCUCCGUAAUGUUACGUAUUUCAAACAGAGAUUUUUUCGUUUCUUAAAUAACUCUUUUUAACUGUUCAUAGGGAAAGCGUAAUGUGUGUGUGUGUGUUACAUGCUUGGGGGUGCGUGACCCCAUACCUGUACAGAGGGUUGCAAAAACGGUCUAAUCCCCCAAUCCCGGGGGGUGGUAGUGGUCAGCCAUCCCCCCAUCCUGGCUGGGGUGACCGACUCCCAUCUCCCAUCUUAGGGGCCCGGUGCUAAUCCCAUCCCUUGAGACAGGUUUCCCAUCCUGCCAGCCUGGGUCCCAUCCCCAAUCCUAUGGCCAGGGAUUCCAAUCCCAUCCUGCAGCUGUGUUCCCCCAAUCCUCAACCUGCCAGCCAGGGUCCCUUCCCAAUCCCUUCGACCAGGGCCAUCCCCAUCUUGCAGCUGUGUCCACAACCGAAAGCUGUCAGCCAGGGUCCCAUCCCCAUCCCUUGCCAGCUACAAACCUACUCCUUACGUUUACACAGGUGCUGUAAUAUCGGCUUUCUCUUUAGGCGUAAAUCAGGGGAAUUGACCAGGGUUAUUUUCUAUUUCCGCGAGGUAUUUUUCUCUUGCUCUAUGGCUUAUUUCCUCUAGCGUCAAAUUCCGCCCGGCUGUGUUCGUUCCGAAGCAGACUGAAGCGACAAACGCUCGUUGAAGCGGAUCUCGACUGAGGAGGAACUCGCAUCACAGAGGUCUACGUAUCUAAUUGCAAACUGGCUGCUAGUG